GACAAAAAAAAAACAUUUCUCGUCGGAGAGAGAGAGAGAGAGAGAAUGAAGUUCACAGACUCGCCGGUGAUCGAGCUUCCCGUCGGCGACGGCGUCCUCUCUCUACACCAAGACAACGGCUCCAUGCACGUCGGAACCUCCGUCUGGCCAUGCUCCCUCAUCCUCGUCAAAUUCGCCGAACGCUGGGCCCAAACCCCACCCGAAACCCCCAACCCUUACACCCACCUCCUCAACUUCGCCGGCAAGCGCGCCGUGGAGCUCGGCUGCGGCUGCGGCGUCGCCGGCAUGGGCCUCUACCUCCUCGGCCUCACUGACCUAGUCCUCACCGACAUCGCCCCCGUCAUGCCCGCACUGAAGCGCAAUCUCAAGGUGAACAAGCCCCUCCUUCGCAAGAAUCUCAAGUACUCCAUUCUCUACUGGAACAACGCUAGUCAGAUCAACGCGCUCAACCCUCCCUUCGAUCUUGUAAUCGCCGCCGACGUUGUUUACAUUGAGGAUUCUGUUCCUCAGUUGAUCUCUGCCAUGGAGAACCUCCUUGCUGAAAACGGUGUCGUUUUGCUUGGUUACCAGCUCAGGGACCCGGAAGCCCAUACGAGAUUCUGGGAAGACUGUCACCGAGUGUUUGAUGUUGAAAAAGUCCCUCAUGAUCAUCUUCAUCCUGAGUAUGCUUAUGAGGAGACUGAUGUUUAUCUUUUGAGGAAGAAGAAGAAACAGUGAUAUGGUUGUGCCAGAAUGUUGUUCGAGCCAGUGUGUAUAUUUGACCCUCCGGAAUCGGAUGAUUGUCAAGAUGGACAUGUAUGUGAUGCGUGACUAGAAGUUUGCUCACAUGAUGUGCAAGACGCUUUAUCCUAACUACAUAAAGAUGCGAAUCGAAAGGCAAAUGCAAUUUCCAAAGUUUGAAGGCUUUGCAGAGUACUUACAGUGGCUCAAAGUUGAGUGACUUGAUUCCACUACACUUAAAUUACUUUGUCAGUUUUGUUGCCAUAUUCCGUUAUUUCAGAACAAACCUACCUAACAAAAACAGCUGAGGACGUGUGAUGGAGAAUGGUCUGUCGCCAACGUUAAAAAAGAUGACCGAGAAGAAGAUUUUGACUUGGAGAAGGUGACUAUUUAUGUUUGUUUGCUAUUUUGCAUAGAAACAUAAAUUUUCAUUCAGUCCAUCGAUGUAAAUGUAAUAGUAGUGAAGCGACUUAAUUGUUCUGUUUUAACUUGAGUCCAAGAUAGGCGUCUUCUUCACUUUGUUACUUGGUUCUUGAAGUUGUAGGACUCCAUAUUUCCCGGUUGAGUGUAAUAAUUUUCUAUCUAUAUAACAUGUGUGAUUUUGAUC
Molecule: RNA transcript, 1327 nt
Organism: Lotus japonicus
Lineage: Eukaryota; Viridiplantae; Streptophyta; Magnoliopsida; Fabales; Fabaceae
Exons: 3
Source: RefSeq, a predicted model, not a curated record